AACGAACGCUGGCGGCAUGCCUAACACAUGCAAGUCGAACGGGAUCCUAGCUUGCUAGGUGAGAGUGGCGGACGGGUGAGUAACACGUGGGAAUCUGCCUUUUGGUUCGGGAUAACCGCGGGGAACUGCGGCUAAUACCGAAUGCCUUCGAGAGAAGAAAGAUUUAUCGCCAGAAGAGGAGCCCGCGUCCGAUUAGGUAGUUGGUGGGGUAAAGGCCUACCAAGCCGACGAUCGGUAGCUGGUCUGAGAGGAUGAUCAGCCACACUGGGACUGAGAUACGGCCCAGACUCCUACGGGAGGCAGCAGUGGGGAAUAUUGGACAAUGGGGGCAACCCUGAUCCAGCAAUGCCGCGUGAGUGAUGAAGGCCUUAGGGUUGUAAAGCUCUUUUGCCAGGGAAGAUGAUGACUGUACCUGGAGAAUAAGCCCCGGCUAACUUCGUG
RNAcentral lists this ribosomal RNA (441 nucleotides) under uncultured bacterium. RNAcentral describes it as "bacterial SSU rRNA". It matches the Rfam family "Bacterial small subunit ribosomal RNA", at positions 29 to 507 of the family's 1533-position model. The record is from RNAcentral.